RNAcentral lists this transfer RNA (67 nucleotides) under Pachypsylla venusta (hackberry petiole gall psyllid). RNAcentral's name for it is "tRNA-Val". The record is from RNAcentral. Lineage: Eukaryota; Metazoa; Arthropoda; Insecta; Hemiptera; Aphalaridae.
AAGUGAAUAGCUAAGUUGUAAGUUUUUUAUUUACACUAAUUUGAUAUCUAAAAAAAGAUUUCACUUA